Molecule: long non-coding RNA, 3044 nt
Filed under: Salvia miltiorrhiza (redroot sage)
Lineage: Eukaryota; Viridiplantae; Streptophyta; Magnoliopsida; Lamiales; Lamiaceae
Description: long non-coding RNA (SMIL_LNC006158)
Source: RNAcentral
UCGACAAAGUUUACAAAGCGGGCAUAGUUAAAAAUUUACAAAGGUUUAUAAUUUACAGAGUCUCGCAGCAAAACAUGAUCAGACUAUAUGUAUGAAGACAUAUAGCCGAGAGUGUAUUUCCUGACUAAGAUCAAAAUAUAAACAUCCAACCUCAAAAGGCUACCAUAUGAAGUAGAAAUACGGUAAAAGAAACAACGCCGUCCAAAAUAAGUCCCCACCAGCACCAGACCGAUCUUCCUCCUCCUCGCUUAUCUUGUACAUUUAGAAAUACAUGCAGGGCUGAGUACAAAGUACUCAGUGGACAUAUGCCGAAAAACAAUAGAAAGCUUGCUCUUAGAGCUAUAAAUCGAACUUGCCACAGUAUAAGCAUCACACAGGGAUUUUAGUAUAAACGAACCUGUGCAAGCAAUUUCGCAAACCAUAAACAUCACAAUAAAGUAAUUGCGCAGUUUAAAUAUUCAUUAUGCAUGUACCAUAUACUAUUCAUCAUCAAAGGUACUGAGAAGUAGGCCUCCCUCUCAAGUACCGUGACCGGCCGACCCGAUCGACGGCUCACAGUCACCUCUGUGCACAAAAUCCCACUUGUGGCAGGACCGAAUUCGUCUCAACAGUAGAGGGUACAUACAAGUUUAUCAUUAAAACUUGGCAAGUCAAUUAGUUUCAAGCAUAACAUUAACUCAAAUCAUAAUCAUAAAUACCAUAUCAUUUAAGAAAGCUCGUAUAAUAUGUAUACUCAAAAUAAUGCCCACCUGACAAACUUAGCUUACUCUCGUAGUACUUGGGCGAUCUUACCUCCGUCCUCUACUCGUAUCUUCAGAUGUCACAACGUCGGAGUGGUUCAUGAGAUAAGAUAAACCUCAGUUAGAAACUCAUUUACUAAAAUCCAAUCUCGUCUCAAACUAUAACUUAUCACUCAUCUUCUAUUUACCCAAAUAAAUCUCAAUCCCUAGGUAUACUUAACUCCAAAGGAUUCACAAGUCCUACUCUCAACUUAACACUCAACUCGGAUUAAACUCAUAGCAAUCAAGCACAUAAACAAGCAUAAUCACAUAAACAUAUAAAUUCACACAUAGACAUGUCACAAACAAACAUCAUUCUGCACUUACUCGAUUUAAAGACUUCACCAGACUCGGUACAGAACUCCACUGGAGUCGUAACCUAUACCAAUUGAAACCUCUUUGAGUCUAGUUUCAUUCAAAAAAAAGUAGGAUGAAAAACUCCAAGUAGUUUAGGAGAUAUGACUAUUUUCCUACAGUCUACCAUAUUCGACAGUUUUGAGCAAUUGAAAACUUUGAUUUUUAACAAAUAGUAAACGUUGCCGAAAAGGCUUGAAAUUUGGUGGGUACAUAGAUAAGACACUCAUGUAUUAAAAAUAAAAAUUUGGGCUCCAAAAAGUUAGGGAAGGACACUGGAAAAGGUGACUCUAUUGGCUACUCACCGAACAUUUCGGCAGAAGGUAGCAGUUUUAGUUUUCUAUUUUAUAAAAAUAGUAAACAAAGUCCAAUUGACUUGAAAUUUUACCGGUAUGCUCCGACUCUUAUUUAAUCUUACCAUAAAAUUUCAAGCUUUUGGUAACAAGAACCCAACGAAACAGUAGGUAUAAAAGGUCUAAAAUGACUCCAAACUUGAACAUACAAGCAAUUAUACCUAGACUUUGGAUUUCUUCGAUGCAAAAUUCUCAAAAAUUCAAAUUAAGCUCACAUAAUACACAAUAACAUAAAUACAUAAUCAUAUAACUCAAGAAAAUUCAAACAUCGACUUCCCCUUUUUCUCCCUACAUUCGGCCAACACAUAGGUCAUUAGGGGUUGGUCCGUUUCGUCUCAUAUUGCAUAUAUAAGCUCAAAUAAUCAUCAAAAAGCCACAUAUAGACAUGCUUGGCUCAUAACUCAUCUUAUAUACAGGAUCUCAUGUAUGCACGCAAACUAAACUCGGAAAAUUUUCACAAAUCAACAUCAUUAACCAAUUUAAUCAUGCUUUCUCCUUGCUAGUAGUCUAACUAUCAUAUAAACAUCAUCAAUUCAAGUAUUUAUUUCAUUACUCAAAAGUUCCCAAUUACUAGCAAACUAAACUUAACCAAUUUUAGGCAUUCUGACAAUUAACCAAAUUGAUCCCUAAUUAUCAUUUCUAUCAUGCUUAAUAACAAUUAAACUUAGCCAAUUUAAUCAAUUAACACAUAGAUCACAAAGUCCCAAUUUUUAACAAACUAAACUUUUUGAAAAUUUGUAAACAUGCAUAAAUCAUUAAUCCAACCUUAGAUCUAUCAAAUUGCACACUUAAUAGCAUAAAUAAACAAUCAAUUAGUAAAUUAAAUCAUAGAAUCAAUUUUACCCAAAUUACAUCAAACUAACUCAUAUCAAAAAUUACUAAUCAAUUUCAACCAUCAAUCCAAUCCAUCAAAUCUCAUAUAAACACUCUCAAUAGCUAUAUCAUCCAUCAAUUCAUCAUAACCAAUCAAAUUCAUUUAACAAACAAUAUAAAUCAUAUCUCUUAACUUACACAUGAAAAACCCAAUAAGAUAUAACAAUUUAAGAAAAGGAAAAAAAAUUUUGAAGGGAAACCAAUUUUCGAAAAUUAGAAAAGGGAGUUUUAUCUAUCAAUAUACCAUAUCCAACAUAAAUAAGUCUAGAUCUAAGAGGAUUUAGCACUUACUCAAGGAUUUGAACAAAAAUAAAAAUCUCCUCUUUUGACUCAAAUCUUGAAACUCCGUCAAAUAUGCUCUUGAUUCAAGGCUAUAGAUGUUUAGGACUUGAUUUGAUGGAGUUUCUUGGUAUAGAAAUGAUCUUGGAAGCUUGGGAAUUGGUUAACAAUGGUGGUAGUGAGAGAAAAAGUGAGAGGGGGAGAGAGUGUAGAGAGGGGCGAAAAUGAUGGGAAAGGAGAGAGAAAAGAGUUUUGUUUAAAUUCUUCAACUUGUUGCCCAAGUUUCAUAAUGGAUAGGGCUUAUCCAAACUAAGCUUCUUCAACACACUAGCAAGUGGCUUCCCCACUAGCCCACUUGUCUAUUAGCUUAGGUUAAUGGUAAUUAAAGAAUGUAAAUGGUGAAAUU